GCCUGGGUGGCUCAGUCGGUUAAGCAUCCGACUUUGGCUCAGGUCAUGAUCUCACAGUUUGUAGGUUCAAGCCCUGCAUCAGGCU
RNAcentral lists this transfer RNA (85 nucleotides) under Felis catus (domestic cat). It matches the Rfam family "tRNA". From Rfam's summary of the family: Transfer RNA (tRNA) molecules are approximately 80 nucleotides in length. Their secondary structure includes four short double-helical elements and three loops (D, anti-codon, and T loops). Lineage: Eukaryota; Metazoa; Chordata; Mammalia; Carnivora; Felidae. The record is from Rfam by way of RNAcentral.